Molecule: ribosomal RNA, 415 nt
Filed under: Salmonella enterica
Lineage: Bacteria; Pseudomonadati; Pseudomonadota; Gammaproteobacteria; Enterobacterales; Enterobacteriaceae
Description: bacterial SSU rRNA
Rfam family: Bacterial small subunit ribosomal RNA
Source: RNAcentral
AAAUUGAAGAGUUUGAUCAUGGCUCAGAUUGAACGCUGGCGGCAGGCCUAACACAUGCAAGUCGAACGGUAACAGGAAGCAGCUUGCUGCUUCGCUGACGAGUGGCGGACGGGUGAGUAAUGUCUGGGAAACUGCCUGAUGGAGGGGGAUAACUACUGGAAACGGUGGCUAAUACCGCAUAACGUCGCAAGACCAAAGAGGGGGACCUUCGGGCCUCUUGCCAUCAGAUGUGCCCAGAUGGGAUUAGCUUGUUGGUGAGGUAACGGCUCACCAAGGCGACGAUCCCUAGCUGGUCUGAGAGGAUGACCAGCCACACUGGAACUGAGACACGGUCCAGACUCCUACGGGAGGCAGCAGUGGGGAAUAUUGCACAAUGGGCGCAAGCCUGAUGCAGCCAUGCCGCGUGUAUGAAGAA